GAGUUUGAUCCUGGCUCAGAACGUACGCUGGCGGCACGCCUAACACAUGCAAGUCGAACGCAGUAGCAAUACUGAGUGGCAAACGGGUGAGUAUAAUGUGGGAAUCUGCCUUUUGGUUUGGAAUAACACGGGGAAACUUGUGCUAAUACCGAAUAAGCCCUUACGGGGAAAGUUUUAACGCCGAAAGAUGAGCCUGCACUUGAUUAGCUAGUUGGUAAGGUAAAGGCUUACCAAGGCAACGAUCAAUAGCUGUUCUUAGAGGAAGACCAGCCACAUUGGGACUGAGACACGGCCCAGACUCCUACGGGAGGCAGCAGUGGGGAAUCUUGCACAAUGGGGGAAACCCUGAUGCAGCGAUGCCGCGUGAGUGAAGAAGGCCCUUGGGUUGUAAAACUCUUUCGUCGGGGAAGAAAAUGACUGUACCCGAAUAAGAAGGUCCGGCUAACUUCGUGCCAGCAGCCGCGGUAAUACGAAGGGACCUAGCGUAGUUCGGAAUUACUGGGCUUAAAGAGCUCGUAGGUGGUUAAAAAAGUUGAUGGUGAAAUCCCAAGGCUCAACCUUGGAACUGCCAUCAAAACUUUUUAGCUAGAGUGUGAUAGAGGUAAGUGGAAUUUCUAGUGUAGAGGUGAAAUUCGUAGAUAUUAGAAAGAACACCAAAUGCGAAGGCAACUUACUGGGUCACUACUGACACUGAGGAGCGAAAGCAUGGGUAGCGAAGAGGAUUAGAUACCCUCGUAGUCCAUGCCGUAAACGAUGUGUGCUAGACGUUGGAAAUAUAUUUUUCAGUGUCGCAGCGAAAGCAUUAAGCACACCGCCUGGGGAGUACGACCGCAAGGUUAAAACUCAAAUGAAAUUGACGGGGACCCGCACAAGCAGUGGAGCAUGUGGUUUAAUUCGAAGAUACGCGCAGAACCUUACCAACACUUGACAUGUUCGUCGCGAAACUAAGAGAUUAGGU
Molecule: ribosomal RNA, 958 nt
Filed under: uncultured bacterium
Lineage: Bacteria
Description: bacterial SSU rRNA
Rfam family: Bacterial small subunit ribosomal RNA
Source: RNAcentral